UACGUAGGGUGCGAGCGUUGUCCGGAAUUAUUGGGCGUAAAGAGCUCGUAGGCGGUGUGUCACGUCGGCCGUGAAAACCUGCAGCUUAACUGUGGGCGUGCGGUCGAUACGGGCAUCACUGGAGUUCGGCAGGGGAGACUGGAAUUCCUGGUGUAGCGGUGAAAUGCGCAGAUAUCAGGAGGAACACCGGUGGCGAAGGCGGGUCUCUGGGCCGAUACUGACGCUGGAGGAGCGGAAAGCGUGGGGAGCAAACAGG
This 256-nucleotide ribosomal RNA is filed under the name uncultured bacterium. RNAcentral describes it as "partial 16S ribosomal RNA". It matches the Rfam family "Bacterial small subunit ribosomal RNA", at positions 524 to 776 of the family's 1533-position model. The record is from RNAcentral.